This 25-nucleotide non-coding RNA is filed under the name Rattus norvegicus (Norway rat). Lineage: Eukaryota; Metazoa; Chordata; Mammalia; Rodentia; Muridae. The record is from RNAcentral.
GGAAAGUAGGUUGUCCUCUGUGUUC